Molecule: ribosomal RNA, 207 nt
Filed under: uncultured bacterium
Lineage: Bacteria
Description: partial 16S ribosomal RNA
Rfam family: Bacterial small subunit ribosomal RNA
Source: RNAcentral
CGCGUAGGCGGCUUCUUAAGCGUGCGGUGAAAGCUCGGGGCUCAACUCCGAGUCGGCCGUGCGAACUGGGGAGCUGGAGCACAGUAGAGGCAGAUUGAAUUCCGGGUGUAGCGGUGGAAUGCGUAGAGAUCCGGAAGAACACCGGUGGCGAAGGCGGUCUGCUGGGCUGUGGCUGACGCUGAGGCGCGACAGCGUGGGGAGCAAACA